UACAGGGGGUGCAAACGUUGCUCGGAAUUAUUGGGCGUAAAGCGCGCGUAGGCGGCUACUUAUGUCGGAUGUGAAAGCCCUUGGCUCAACUGAGGAAGUGCACCCGAAACUGAGUAGCUGGAGUACGAAAGAGGGUCGCGGAAUUCCCGGUGUAGAGGUGAAAUGCGUAGAUAUCGGGAGGAACAUCAGUGGCGAAGGCGGCCCUCUGGUCCAGUACUGACACUCAAGUGCGAAAGCGUGGGGAGCAAACAGG
Molecule: ribosomal RNA, 253 nt
Filed under: uncultured bacterium
Lineage: Bacteria
Description: partial 16S ribosomal RNA
Rfam family: Bacterial small subunit ribosomal RNA
Source: RNAcentral